Molecule: ribosomal RNA, 253 nt
Filed under: uncultured bacterium
Lineage: Bacteria
Description: partial 16S ribosomal RNA
Rfam family: Bacterial small subunit ribosomal RNA
Source: RNAcentral
GACGAACCGUGCUAACGUUGUUCGGAAUCACUGGGCUUAAAGGGCGCGUAGGUGGCGACGUAAGUCGGGUGUGAAAGCCCCGGGCUCAACCUGGGAAUUGCAUUCGAGACUGCAUUGCUGGAGUACGGAAGAGGAGGGCGGAAUUCCCGGUGUAGCGGUGAAAUGCGUAGAUAUCGGGAGGAACAUCAGUGGCGAAGGCGGCCCUCUGGUCCAGUACUGACACUCAAGUGCGAAAGCGUGGGGAGCAAACAGG